GAAUUAGAGCGUCGAGGUUAGGGUUACGCCGAUGCGCACCGAAAUCAUCAUCAGAGCCACUCGAACCCAAGCCGUUCUCGGGGAGAAGGGAAGGAGAAUUAGGGAACUUACCUCCGUGGUUCAGAAGAGGUUCAAGUUUCCCGAGAACAGCGUUGAACUCUAUGCCGAAAAA
Molecule: non-coding RNA, 172 nt
Organism: Cajanus cajan (pigeon pea)
Lineage: Eukaryota; Viridiplantae; Streptophyta; Magnoliopsida; Fabales; Fabaceae
Source: RefSeq, a predicted model, not a curated record